Molecule: long non-coding RNA, 6245 nt
Organism: Trifolium pratense (red clover)
Lineage: Eukaryota; Viridiplantae; Streptophyta; Magnoliopsida; Fabales; Fabaceae
Exons: 4
Source: RefSeq, a predicted model, not a curated record
CCUUCUGUUUUUAUAGCUUUUCUUGCAUGGAGAUUAUAGCCAAGUGUGGUUCGUCAAAAUAAUGAUCUUCUCUCAUCAUAGCAUGGAGCCUCAAAUUUUGGUUUGCAUAUUUAUUUUUAAAGCAUAUAUUUUCAUGAUAUUUUAUUUCCUCUGGUGUUGCAGGGAUGAUAAUACUUUUCUUUCUCAUGUUUGAUCUUCCCGUUUUGUAUUCUGAUUCUUUUUUUUGGUCUUUUGAUUGAGGUUUGAUUUGGUUCUGACAUGUUAAUCUAAAAACGACGUUUUCUGUAGUGCAUUAUGUUUUGAAACAAUAACAUUUGAUGAGUAUCAAGACUCAGGUUUAUUUUGGUACCUCUACUUUGAAUGCGAAUUAUUUUCGUUUCUUUUUUUUAUCUGGCCGAUUCUUGUUGUCUACUCUUCUGGAUUUGCUCCUCUAUGAUUUACCAUUACUACUUAUUGUUUCUUAUCAAUGUUGAAAACUAUACAUGAUUUAAGAUUUUUUGUUUUCGUGUUUUGGGAGAGCUUGGUGGGCCUAUCUUUGUUAUGCUGAUUUGUGACUUAGUUUGAAGAACUAUGAUACUAUUCUUUCUUCUUGGUUCUUUUUCUACAAUCUGUUUGUUACAGCCUAAUUUUAAUUUUCUUGUGGUGUUAACAGAGUAAGAUUUACACGGGUUUGGUAUACCACAAAAGUUUCCUACUUUUUCAAACACUGAACCUUUUAAUCACCAUAAUGUUCAGUUGGUUGUGUUACAUUUCAUUAUAGUUGUUUCAGCAUCCACACUUAAUUUUGUGAGGUUAUCAUAUUCUUCCAGCGUUGAAGUUUUUGUGAGUUUCUGUAACGUCUUACUCCGUGGUUUAAAAUACAAAAUUCUGGAGUAACUCUUCCCUUCCCAAGGUAAGGAUUUUUGACAACUUGGUUAGGUGGUGUUUGUUAUGAUGACCUGUUUCAUUGGCCCACAAACUCCUCUGGUAUUGCAGUAGGCUUAGUAGGCUUAAAUUGUGACGUUUCAUAUUGAGCACGCCAUGAUAUUAAAUUGAUAGUGAGGAUAUGAUGUUGAUCUAUAGUAAAUUCUUUUUGUUUCCAUCUUUAGCGAUUCUGAGGGCAUAAAGUUCAUGAUUUGUUAUUUAUUCUUAGGUGUUGCAGGAGAGGAUAUGGUUUUGAUUUAAGUCUUGAUAUGCUUUUCUUAGAAUCAAACUUCUCUUGACACUUCUUUUACUCAUCAAGAUUUUGUUUUGUAUAAUUUUUUGAUAUAAUUCUUUGUUUGGUAAUCGAGAGACGCGUUUAUCCAUUUUGCAGCUGGCUAAGAGCUUUCGAUGUCUAGAAUGCGUUCAUAAAAUGGACAAGAGCACAUAGCCAAUAGUUUUAAUUUGGUGAUCUCUAGUAAUUUUUUUUUGUUUCAAUGUUGAAAUUUAUGCUCUCAGAAUCGAUAACAAAAAGAAUUUCAUGAUUUGUUAUUUAUUCUUUUUGCUCAUAAUCAUGAUUUGUUAUUUAUUCUUAGGUGUUGGAGGAGAGGAUAUGAUUUUGAUUUACGUCUGGAUAUGCUCUCAGAAUUUCACACAAUCAAACUUCUCUUGACUCUUCUUUUACUCAUCAAUAUUUUGUUUUGGAUAAUUUUUUUAUAUAAUUCUUUGUUUGGUAAUCGAGAGACGCGUUUAUCCAUUUUGCAGCUGGCUAAGAGCUUUCGAUGUCUAGAAUGCGUUCAUAAAAUGGACAAGAGCACAUAGCCAAUAGUUUUAAUUUGGUGAUCUCUAGUAAUUUUUUUUUGUUUCAAUGUUGAAAUUUAUGCUCUCAGAAUCGAUAACAAAAAGAAUUUCAUGAUUUGUUAUUUAUUCUUUUUGCUCAUAAUCAUGAUUUGUUAUUUAUUCUUAGGUGUUGGAGGAGAGGAUAUGAUUUUGAUUUACGUCUGGAUAUGCUCUCAGAAUUUCACACAAUCAAACUUCUCUUGACUCUUCUUUUACUCAUCAAUAUUUUGUUUUGGAUAGUUUUUUGAUAUAAUUCUUUGUUUGAUAAUCGAGAGAUGUGUUUAUCCAUUUUGCAGUGGACUAUGAAGUUUCGAUGGAAUGCCUUGAUAAAAUGGACAAGAACAUGGAACGUAAAGUUUUAAUUUGGUGAUCUCUAGUAAAUUUUUUUUGUUUCCAUAUAGUUUUUUUAAUAUAACUUGUCAAACUAUUGGAAAUAAAAGAAUAUCAAAAUAUCCGUUUAUCCAUUUUGCAGUGAGCUAAUUUCUGGAUAUCUCGAACAAUUUUGGAUUAUAAUGAAUAAGAACGAUAAUAGUUACAGAUGCAUAAUCAAAUUUCCUCGAUCAUUUGUUCUUUAAUAUUUUUAUUUUUGGGCUUUGAUUACCAUGCACUCAAAUUGAAUCGUGAACCUGUUGUUCUGCAGCAUGGUUUGUCAAAAUCAAAAAAAUUUUGAACUUUGAUCAAGGCUAGAGAUCUCAAUUUUUGAUUACUCUUUUAAAAUAUUUUAGUUUUCAAUAACUCCAUCGCUUUCGAAUUCAUAUUUUCUUGAUAUUCUAUUUCCUUUGAUGUUGCAGGAAGGUAAUUUGUGAACGCUGAUUCCUUCUGGUUCUGGUUCUAUCUUUCUUUUGUUUGAUCUUCAUGUUUUUUUUAUUCUUAUUCUUUUCUGGUCUUUUGAUUUGGUUCUGGCUUAGACCGUCAUGCAUGUGAAUUAAAAUAUGACACGCUGUUUUCUGCAGCCUCAGGUUUAUUUGCUACCAUGUACUUGGGUUGUGAACUAUUUUUAUUUUCAUUUCUAUUCUGAUUGUCUAGUCGAUUUACUUCUUUGUUCUAUGCUUGACUUUUUUAUCUGAAUUCUGACAGUGCAAAAGUUUACAUGAUUCUUGGUGGUCUUCUCUUUGUAAUGUUGAUCUGUGACUUGGUGGUCUUCUCUUUGUAAUGUUGAUCUGUGACUUGGUUUGAAGAAUUAUGCAACUAUUCUUUCUUUCUUCUUGUUUAAGCAUCUUUCAUAGUGUAUAUUUUCUUACAAUUGCUUUAAUACUAUUUUUUUCAAGUUUAUUUCAUUCUUGAGAAUCUGUGUAUAUUUGUCAAUAUUUAUUUCAUCAGAUACUAACUCAUAUUUAGUCCGCUAAGCUUAGCCUAUACACUUUGUUAACUUUUCCUCUCUGCUGGGAUUAAUUUGGCUAUGCAAAUUUAGAUUUAACAUCUCAGCUGGGAUUAUUCUUUCAAAUUUGGGCGAGAUUAUCAGAUAAUGGCGAUUCAUCAUUGGGAUGUAAUUGGUCCUUUUUAUUACAUGGUAUAUGAAUUUGUGUUUCUUCCAGUGUUGAAGUUUUUAUUUGUUUUUGUAUCCAGAACCUGAGUACUCUGACAAAGAUUAGAAAGAUUUUGGAAUGACACUUUGGUCUUUCCAAAGAUGAGGAAUUUUGGACAGCUUGGAUACAUAAAAUUGAUUCUGAUGAUUUGUUUGUUAGGGCCAGAUAACAUAACUUUGUCGAGGGAGGUUUUCUAAAUCUUCUUUACUUUUUUUUUUUGGUGAUUAGUGAUUUAUGAUGAUGAUGAGACACCUAAAAUGAUACCCUCUUCAUUACAGUGGCCAAAGGACUCCUCUGUAUUAGGUGGAAGCCAAAAUUGUAUUAUUUAAUAUGGCUACAUGAUCUUGCAAAUUAGAUGGAAAUUUGGUCAACUCUUCUAAGAAUCUUUACAUUUCAGUCUAUUUUUGAUACUCAGCGUAUACUUUUCAGACUUUAUCAUAAGACAUACUAAUUGAAUUGUGAACUACUUUUCUGCAGCAUGGUUUGUCAAAAUAAUAUUCUACAUGGCGGUAGAGCCUUCAGUUUUGAUUUGGUGAUCUCUAGUAAAUUCUUUAGUUUCAUUAUUUGUUCAUCGAUUUUCAGAGCAUAUAUUUAUUGAUUUGUUAUUUUUCUCUUUAGUUUUGCAGGAGAGGUAAUCUAAAUGCACACAAUUCCUUGGCGUUCUAUCUUCCUCUUGUUUGAUCUUUUAGUUUUUGUUUUCACACUCUUUUUUCCCUGGUUACUUUGGUUUUGAUCUUGAAGUUUUCUGGUGUUAUUUUAAUGAUCUGCAGCUACUAAUGCGUUGUUUUUUUUCACGAUAUUGAGAUAUUCUUUUAUCCAUUUUGCAGCUAGCUUCUGGUUAUAUAUUCCCCAUGUUUGAUCUUCAUGUUUAAUAUUUGAUGAAACAUAUGUAUCUGUUUAUUGCAUAUUGCAGUAUAGUGUUUUGAAACAGGUUUAUUUUGGUACACUUCUUGCAAUGUGAAUUAUUUUUGAUUCAUUUUCUCUGGAGUUUUAAAUUCUUUUAUUUUUCAAUAUUUCAUCUGUAUUGUCAUUCUUCUCUGGUUGAUUAUUUUGGGUUCUUCUUAGAUAUUAUUUGGUUGUUGUUGGUUUCAAGCUUGGAGUUUGCCGCUCUUAUUUUAACGAUGAUGCAUUACUAUUAUAGAGUUCGUUAGGCUUUUAGUCGACUUGUUUUUUCUAAUUCCUCUUUUGUGUCAAAUAUUAUUCUUCGUUUGAGCAUGUACAUAUCAUGUUUUGCUUUUAAUUUUUGUUGCAGUAUGCUGGAGUUUUGAUGUGAAUUUUCUUUUUAAUGUGUUGCAAAUUGGACAGCACGCUUCGUUUUUAACCUGUAAUCCGGCAGCGCAGAAGUUUACACGAUUAUGGAGAAAUUCUGAUAGUUUUGUGGGUCUCUCUUUGUAAUUAUGACCUUCUGAUCAGUGACUUGGUUUGGCUAAUUACUCUACUUUUCUUUAUUCUUAGUUUAUUCUACAACUAUUUUCACAGUAGUUUUGCUGAACAUGUAUAUUCUGGUGUUCAUAGUGCAAGUACCUAGAAGUCUCAAUCACACUGCACCUUGUUAAUUUUGCUGUGCUGCAGUUGGAGAUGAGUGCCUCUGUGCUUUGUACUAUUUAUGUGCUGUGAAAUAAUUGAUCUUUAUUUUUAACUUAUGUCUUUGUUCCCAAAUAAUUUGUCUUUGAUCAUGUACAGGCUGGUCAUUAAGUUUGUGUUUCUUCUAGUGUUGAAGUUGUGUGUUUUCAGUAUCCAGAACCUAAGUAUAAGAACCUGAGGAUCCAGAACCUGUCAUAGGGAGGUAGCUAAAAUUGUGUCAUUUCAUAUAUGGCUGAAGAUUGGAUGGAUGUACCAGAAUCUGCAAUUGGCUGUUGUUUUCUGCAAUCUGCUGCAUUCAUGGAAGUUAUACACAGUGCCAUUGGUUCCGAGCGGAGCGUUGUUUCCUCUGAUGCAAUGGACAGGAAGGGCUCAGUUUGUGGUUGUCAUUGUUCAGAAUAUUGAUGAUGUUUUACUCUAUUCUAUGGAUCACUUCACUUUCACUUCUUUAUGUCUUGCCUUGAGUUUAUAUUGUUUAAUUUUAUGUGAAGCUUUUGUUUGUUUUUGCAGUUAAUUGGAUUCCUAACUCAGGAUUUUUGUUCUGUGCUUUCUCUAGGUCCAGGAGUUACCUUCCGUUUUAUAACUUCUCUUGCAAGGAGUAUAGCCGAGGUGAUUUUUUUAUUAGAUUGGAUUCAUUUAUUUUGAGUAUGGUUAAUAUUCACUAAUAAGUAGACACACACUCGAGUCUGUCAUUAAGUUUAGAAGAGGUGAUCGUUACCUAAUAAAAUGAUCUUAUAGAACAUGACAUAUAUAGCAGAAAAUCAGAACAUUUGAAAACAGGAAAAUGCAGAUAUCUAAGAGCACCUAGAUAGAAAUGAUGUCUAGACAAGAUUUCCUUGCAGCCUUGGUGAGAUUCUUAUCAACAACCUUAACAUUUCUAUGUUAGUUGUUAUUUUGUUAUGUUUAUUAUUACUAAUUAUAGAAACACAAGAUAAUGCAAUGUAUGCUAAAGAGGUGAGGUGUAAACGGAAAUAAAUUGAAAGAAUAAUGUUCUUUGAUGUGUACAAGCUGGUGUUGAAUUUUUUGUGUUUCUUUCGUUGUUGAAGUUUUUAUGUGUUUUCCAAAUAGUGUACAAGUUUCUAGAUUAACUCUUUGCCUUUCUCAUGAUCUGGAAAUUCGGAAAACUUUGUUAUGCCAUGAUGCUAUGAUUUGUUGGUUGAAUGGUUGGGGACAACUUAACUUUGUUAGCAGAGAUUUUCUAUAAUCUUGCACUGUUUUAUUGUUUUUGUUGUUAUUUGUCAUUAAUGCUUUGUACAUGAUCUUGCAGCCUUUAAUUUGGUCAUCUGUUGCCAUUCAAAAAAAAUAAUAAUAAUAAUUUGGUCAUCUGUUUUACAACUUCAUGUGUCAGCUAUGUUUGAUACUUAGCAUCUACUUUUGUUGUUCCUUUCAAUUUUUUGU